CUUGACCUCAAAUCAGGUAGGACUACCCGCUGAA
Molecule: ribosomal RNA, 34 nt
Filed under: Agaricus bisporus (cultivated mushroom)
Lineage: Eukaryota; Fungi; Basidiomycota; Agaricomycetes; Agaricales; Agaricaceae
Also listed under: 2 other names
Description: partial 28S ribosomal RNA
Source: RNAcentral